RNAcentral lists this ribosomal RNA (468 nucleotides) under uncultured bacterium. Its description in RNAcentral is "partial 16S ribosomal RNA". It matches the Rfam family "Bacterial small subunit ribosomal RNA", at positions 28 to 507 of the family's 1533-position model. The record is from RNAcentral.
GACGAACGCUGGCGGCGCGCCUAACACAUGCAAGUCGAACGGAGCUGCGAGAAGCUUGCUUUUCUUAGCUUAGUGGCGAACGGGUGAGUAACGCGUGAGUAACCUGCCCUGGAGUGGGGGACAACAGUUGGAAACGACUGCUAAUACCGCAUAAGCCCACGAUCCGGCAUCGGAUUGAGGGAAAAGGAUUUAUUCGCUUCAGGAUGGACUCUCGUCCAAUUAGCUAGUUGGUGAGGUAACGGCCCACCAAGGCGACGAUUGGUAGCCGGACUGAGAGGUUGAACGGCCACAUUGGGACUGAGACACGGCCCAGACUCCUACGGGAGGCAGCAGUGGGGGAUAUUGAACAAUGGGGGAAACACUGAUGCAGCGACGCCGCGUGGAGGAAGAAGGUGUUCGGAUUGUAAACUCCUGUCGUUAGGGACGAUAAUGACGGUACCUAACAAGAAAGCACCGGCUAACUACGUG